AGCGAAAUGAGGAGGCGAAAUCAUCUGAAUUUAUGCUGUUGAUAUUACCUGCAUGGUCUUCAAAGUUCUCUGAUCGCU
This is a non-coding RNA of Triticum aestivum (bread wheat), 78 nucleotides long. NCBI's taxonomy places the organism in Eukaryota, Viridiplantae, Streptophyta, Magnoliopsida, Poales, Poaceae. The record is from Rfam.